RNAcentral lists this ribosomal RNA (586 nucleotides) under Trapelia coarctata. Its description in RNAcentral is "SSU rRNA". It matches the Rfam family "Eukaryotic small subunit ribosomal RNA", at positions 136 to 728 of the family's 1831-position model. Lineage: Eukaryota; Fungi; Ascomycota; Lecanoromycetes; Trapeliales; Trapeliaceae. The record is from RNAcentral.
UUACUUGGAUAACCGUGGUAAUUCUAGAGCUAAUACAUAGCUAAAAACCCCGACUUCGGGAGGGGUGUAUUUAUUAGAUAAAAAACCAAUGCCCUUCGGGGCUCCUUGGUGAUUCAUAAUAACUAAACGAAUCGCAUGGCCUUGCGCCGGCGAUGGUUCAUUCAAAUUUCUGCCCUAUCAACUUUCGAUGGUAGGAUAGUGGCCUACCAUGGUGGCAACGGGUAACGGGGAAUUAGGGUUCGAUUCCGGAGAGGGAGCCUGAGAAACGGCUACCACAUCCAAGGAAGGCAGCAGGCGCGCAAAUUACCCAAUCCCGACGCGGGGAGGUAGUGACAAUAAAUACUGAUGUGGAGCUCUUUAGGGUUUCACAAUUGGAAUGAGAAAAAUCUAAACCACUUAACGAGGAACAAUUGGAGGGCAAGUCUGGUGCCAGCAGCCGCGGUAAUUCCAGCUCCAAUAGCGUAUAUAAAGUUGUUGCAGUUAAAAGCUCGUAGUUGAACCUUGGCCUGGCCGGCCGGUCCGCUCACGCGUGCACUGUCGGCCGGCCUUUUCUCUGGGRACGCAUGCCUUCACUGGGKKUGCGGGA